This 1588-nucleotide long non-coding RNA is filed under the name Salmo salar (Atlantic salmon). RNAcentral describes it as "lncRNA (ENSSSAG00000104613.1)". The record is from RNAcentral. Lineage: Eukaryota; Metazoa; Chordata; Actinopteri; Salmoniformes; Salmonidae.
UCUAAUUGGUGGUAAACAGCAAGUAUUUAAUGAAAUGAUACGUACCAGAUCUAUUGUAUUAUUGUUACAGUUUCUGUAGGGGUUAUUCUACGGUUCUUCUCAUUGUUGUACUGAACACAUAUAUACAAUGAACAUUCAGCUAUCAUCACAGAUUGCACACUAGAUACUGUAGUAAUGCAGUCUAAUACAAGACCAUCAAAAUAAUACAUUAUUUAAAUUUGAUCAGUCCUUAUUUUUUUUUCUCCCAUAAAGAAUACAAAAAGGCCACCCAGAGUUGGGGCACAUCUCCAGCACUCCCAUCGUAACUGUACACCGACCUAUCGCUUGGGGGGUUAAUAAUGGCUUAAAACAACUCAAAUGCGUUGAGAAAAAGAAGAAAAAAAAUCACGAAAAAAAUUAUUAAAAUAAACCCUAAAAAUAAUGCAGUUAAAACAUGUACAAUGCAACUGGACACAAAGUCAGUUGUGUUAAUCCACACAAAACACGUAACAACUUCCUGACAGAAAAAUAAUAAUAAACACAAAAUUAAAAACCCAGUUAAUAAUUGCAUAAAUACUUUAUACAGUUCAUUUCACUCUGGAGAAGAAAUGCACCCUUUUCUUUAAAAUGAUAGCCUGACAACAUAAAAUUGCAUUCGAUAAAAAUCCUGAUUCUUAUUCCUCUCUAAACUUUUUUGUUAUUGUUUUUUUUGUACAUGGAGAAGGUGGAAAUAAUGAACUCAGAUGAAUAAUAAUAAUAAUAAUAAUAUUAAUAAGCCAUCUGGUUUAUUUUGAAGUUGCUUAGUAACAGACAUGUUAUCAGCUGGCUGCUAUGAUACAGUACAUAUUUAGAGUGAUUUACCAAUAGUGAUAAGAGUGCAUAUUACACGGAGGGGGGGAAAGUCGUCGCACUGUAAUCAAUUAUUAACUACUCAUUGACUGCACUUGUGUAACAGCUCUUUAAGUGUUUUAGCUGUCAGAAGAGACUCUCCAAAAAAGUAAAAAAUAAAAUUAAAAUAAAGUGUAAAAAUAAAAAGUGAUUUCUAGUAAAGAAAGCAGCACUUCAAUGCACCGUUGCCCACAGCAUCAUCAACAUACAGAACACGACGAAUGAACGAGGAGGGAUACAGAUCGAUGACGAACCAUGACGAAAACAAACUAUGUUCGUAUUUCACGGUCCCCACAUAUACAUCGAGAAAUAUUCCUAACAUACGCCACACGUAGCUAGCUAACGACAUCUAAGAGUGAAAUGUGACGAGCAAAUCGCUUUUCUUGUGACCGACAGAGUGGAUUUCAUGCUGCAAUCAACUACAGAGAUCGUCCUCAGUCAAAUAUAUAUAGUAGAUGUAAAACACCUAGAACAUUUUAGAUUAUCUCUCACUAACACACACUACUGGGUCUCAUCUCUAGUUUCUACCGCUGCUGUUCCAUAGGUCUCUCUGGUUAACUGGGUCUCAUCUCUAGUUUCUACCGCUGCUGUUCCAUAGGUCUCUCUGGUUAACUGGGUCUCAUCUCUAGUUUCUACCGCUGCUGUUCCAUAGGUCUCUCUGGUUAACUGGGUCUCAUCUCUAGUUUCUACCGCUGCUGUUCCAUAGGUCUCUCUGGUUAAC